GAUGAAGAACGUAGCGAAAUGCGAUAAGUAAUGUGAAUUGCAGAAUUCAGUGAAUCAUCGAAUCUUUGAACGCACAUUGCGCCCCCUGGUAUUCCGGGGGGCAUGCCUGUUCGAGCGUCAUUACAACCCUCAAGCUCUGCUUGGUAUUGGGCCCCGCCAGUUCUGGCGGGCCCUAAAGUCAGUGGCGGUGCCUUCCGGCUCCGAGCGUAGUAAUUCUUCUCGCUCUGGAGACCCGGUUGUGUGCUUGCCAACAACCCCCAAUUUUUUAAGGUUGACCUCGGAUCAGGUAGGGAUACCCGCUGAACUUAAGCAUAUCAAUAAGUGGAGGA
Molecule: unclassified non-coding RNA, 329 nt
Filed under: soil metagenome
Description: partial contains 5.8S ribosomal RNA, internal transcribed spacer 2, and large subunit ribosomal RNA
Rfam family: 5.8S ribosomal RNA (bases 1-120)
Source: RNAcentral